RNAcentral lists this ribosomal RNA (799 nucleotides) under uncultured Rhizophagus. RNAcentral describes it as "SSU rRNA". It matches the Rfam family "Eukaryotic small subunit ribosomal RNA", at positions 314 to 1114 of the family's 1831-position model. Lineage: Eukaryota; Fungi; Glomeromycota; Glomeromycetes; Glomerales; Glomeraceae. The record is from RNAcentral.
AUCAACUUUCGAUGGUAGGAUAGAGGCCUACCAUGGUGGUAACGGGUAACGGGGUGUUAGGGCACGACACCGGAGAGGGAGCCUGAGAAACGGCUACCACAUCCAAGGAUGGCAGCAGGCGCGCAAAUUACCCAAUCCCGACACGGGGAGGUAGUGACAAUAAAUAACAAUACGGGGUUCUUUCGGAUUUCGUAAUUGGAAUGAGUACAAUUUAAAUCUCUUAACGAGGAACAAUUGGAGGGCAAGUCUGGUGCCAGCAGCCGCGGUAAUUCCAGCUCCAAUAGCGUAUAUUAAAGUUGUUGCAGUUAAAAAGCUCGUAGUUGAAUUUCGGGGUCAGUAGAUUGGUCGUGCCACUGGUAUGUACUGGUCUUACUGGUUCCUCCUUCCUGAUGAACCGUAAUGCCAUUAAUUUGGUGUUGCGGGGAGACUGGACUGUUACUUUGAAAAAAUUAGAGUGUUUAAAGCAGGCUAACGCUUGAAUACAUUAGCAUGGAAUAAUGAAAUAGGACGUUCGAUCUUAUUUUGUUGGUUUCUAAGAUUGACGUAAUGAUUAAUAGGGAUAGUUGGGGGCAUUAGUAUUCAAUUGUCAGAGGUGAAAUUCUUGGAUUUAUUGAAGACUAACUACUGCGAAAGCAUUUGCCAAGGAUGUUUUCAUUAAUCAAGAACGAAAGUUAGGGGAUCGAAGACGAUCAGAUACCGUCGUAGUCUUAACCAUAAACUAUGCCGACUAGGGAUCGGAUGAUGUUAAUUUUUUAAUGACUCAUUCGGCGCCUUACGGGAAACCAAAGUGUUUGGGUUC